AAAUAAGAAGCAAUACAAUGCAUUUAAUUUCGACUUAAAAGAAAGAGUAUUUAAUUACUCCUUAUUUA
This 68-nucleotide transfer RNA is filed under the name Episparis tortuosalis. RNAcentral's name for it is "tRNA-Arg". The record is from RNAcentral. Lineage: Eukaryota; Metazoa; Arthropoda; Insecta; Lepidoptera; Erebidae.